UACGGGGGGGGCAAGCGUUGUUCGGAAUUACUGGGCGUAAAGGGCUCGUAGGCGGCCAACUAAGUCAGACGUGAAAUCCCUCGGCUUAACCGGGGAACUGCGUCUGAUACUGGAUGGCUUGAGUUUGGGAGAGGGAUGCGGAAUUCCAGGUGUAGCGGUGAAAUGCGUAGAUAUCUGGAGGAACACCGGAGGCGAAGGCGGCUCACUGGGGCUUUUCUGACGCUGAGGAACGAAAGCCAGGGUAGCGAACGGG
RNAcentral lists this ribosomal RNA (253 nucleotides) under uncultured bacterium. RNAcentral's name for it is "partial 16S ribosomal RNA". It matches the Rfam family "Bacterial small subunit ribosomal RNA", at positions 524 to 776 of the family's 1533-position model. The record is from RNAcentral.